UAAACUACGAUUAGAUACCCUAUUAUUUUGGAUGUAAAGAGUUGAUACUAGAGUAGUAUAAGUUAUGAUCUUGAAACUCAAAGAAUUUGGCGGUGUUUUAGUCCUUUCAGAGGAACCUGCCCCGUAAUCGAUAUUCCACGUUAGACCUUACUUAAUUUUGUUAAAUCAGUCUGUAUAUCGCCGUCGUCAGAAUGUCCUAGAAGGGUUAGAAUUUUCUUUAUUUUUAAUAAUAAAAGGAUGUCAGGUCAAGGUGCAGUUUAUAGUUAAGUGGAGGUGGGUUACAAUAAAUUUAUUUAUUACGGAUAAUUAUUUGAAAAUUAAUAAUUUGAAGGUGGAUUUGAAUGUAAUUUUGUAUAGUAUAAUAUAUUGAUUUAUGGCUCUAAAACAUGCACACAUCGCCCGUCGCUCUUA
This 411-nucleotide ribosomal RNA is filed under the name Isoperla davisi (Alabama stripetail). RNAcentral's name for it is "partial 12S ribosomal RNA". The stretch from base 51 to 411 matches the Rfam family "Microsporidia small subunit ribosomal RNA", at positions 752 to 1207 of the family's 1311-position model. The record is from RNAcentral. Lineage: Eukaryota; Metazoa; Arthropoda; Insecta; Plecoptera; Perlodidae.